CGGGGCGUAGCGCAGCCCGGUUAGCGCGCUGUGUUCGGGACGCAGAGGUCCCCGGUUCGAAUCCGGGCGCCCCGA
Molecule: transfer RNA, 75 nt
Filed under: Chloroflexota bacterium
Lineage: Bacteria; Bacillati; Chloroflexota
Description: Chloroflexi bacterium (groundwater metagenome) tRNA-Pro
Rfam family: tRNA
About the family: Transfer RNA (tRNA) molecules are approximately 80 nucleotides in length. Their secondary structure includes four short double-helical elements and three loops (D, anti-codon, and T loops).
Source: RNAcentral